This 731-nucleotide long non-coding RNA is filed under the name Homo sapiens (human). Its description in RNAcentral is "HSALNT0372273". Lineage: Eukaryota; Metazoa; Chordata; Mammalia; Primates; Hominidae. The record is from RNAcentral.
CUCACACCUGUAAUCCCAGCACUUUGGGAGGCCAAGGCGGGUGGAUCACUUGAGGUCAGGAGUUCAAGACCAGCCUGGCCAAGAUGGUGAAACCCCAUCUCUACUAAAAAUACAAAAAAAAAUUAGCCAGGCAUGGUGGCGGGCACCUGUAAUCCCAGCUACUCAGGAGGCUGAGGCAGAGAAUUGCUUGAACCUGGAAGGCAGAGGUGGCCGUGAGCCAAGAUCGCGCCACUGCACUCCAGCCUGGGUGACAGAGCAAGACUCCGUCUCAAAAAAAAAAAAAAAAAAAAAAAAUUACUUACCAAGCCACACAGUAAAUGUCUUGCAUAUGGUGACUGCCAAAUGGAAAAAAAAAAAAAAAAAAACGACACAACUAGCUGUUUCCUGAAACGUGAAUGCACACUUGCCGCCUGGGUAAAAUGUCCAGCAACAUACAUAGAAAGUCAGAUAGUGCUGAAGCUCAAGCAACUUCGAUGGCACAAAGAUGAUGUUUUAGAUAACUCAGAUGAUAGCAAUGAAAAAUAAAUUAUUAAAGUCAAAAAUGCAUAUGAGAAUUUAAAUAGAAUCAUUUCAGUGAUUCAGCAAGAGUGGGAAAAGGCAAUCCUUUAAAAUAAUGUAUUAGUUGAUCUAGUGUGUAAUUUUAUAUAUUUGUAACUUACUUGAACACUGCAAUGUAGAUAUUUAAGCAUUCUGUCUCCAGCCCUUAAAGGAGAUGUAUUUUUUUCUUCUUU